AUGAACGCUAGCUACAGGCUUAACCCAUGCAAGUCGAGGGGCAGCGGUAUCGAAAGCUUGCUUUCGGUAGCCGGCGACCGGCGCACGGGUGAGUAACGCGUAUCGAACCUGCCUCAUACUCGGGAAUAGCCUUGCGAAAGUAAGAUUAAUGCCCGGUGUUUUCAGAGUCCCGCAUGAGGCUUUGAACAAAGAUUUAUCGGUAUGAGAUGGCGAUGCGUCCCAUUAGCUUGUUGGCGGGGUAACGGCCCACCAAGGCAUCGAUGGGUAGGGGUUCUGAGAGGAAGGUCCCCCACAUUGGAACUGAGACACGGUCCAAACUCCUACGGGAGGCAGCAGUGAGGAAUAUUGGUCAAUGGGCGGAAGCCUGAACCAGCCAAGUAGCGUGCAGGAAGACGGCCCUCCGGGUUGUAAACUGCUUUUAGUUGGGAAUAAAACGGGGCUCGUGAGCCCCCUUGCAUGUACCAUCAGAAAAAGGACCGGCUAAUUCCGU
Molecule: ribosomal RNA, 490 nt
Filed under: uncultured bacterium
Lineage: Bacteria
Description: partial 16S ribosomal RNA
Rfam family: Bacterial small subunit ribosomal RNA
Source: RNAcentral